GACGAACGCUGGCGGCGUGCUUAACACAUGCAAGUCGAACGGAAAGGCCCUGCUUUUGUGGGGUGCUCGAGUGGCGAACGGGUGAGUAACACGUGAGUAACCUGCCCUUGACUUUGGGAUAACUUCAGGAAACUGGGGCUAAUACCGGAUAGGAGCUCCUGCUGCAUGGUGGGGGUUGGAAAGUUUCGGCGGUUGGGGAUGGACUCGCGGCUUAUCAGCUUGUUGGUGGGGUAGUGGCUUACCAAGGCUUUGACGGGUAGCCGGCCUGAGAGGGUGACCGGCCACACUGGGACUGAGAUACGGCCCAGACUCCUACGGGAGGCAGCAGUGGGGAAUAUUGCACAAUGGGCGGAAGCCUGAUGCAGCAACGCCGCGUGCGGGAUGACGGCCUUCGGGUUGUAAACCGCUUUCGCCUGUGACGAAGCGGGAGUGACGGUAAUGGGUAAAGAAGCACCGGCUAACUACGUG
Molecule: ribosomal RNA, 468 nt
Filed under: uncultured bacterium
Lineage: Bacteria
Description: partial 16S ribosomal RNA
Rfam family: Bacterial small subunit ribosomal RNA
Source: RNAcentral